GACGUAGGGCGCGAGCGUUGUCCGGAUUUAUUGGGCGUAAAGAGCUCGUAGGCGGCUUGUCGCGUCGAAUGUGAAAACUCGGGGCUCAACCCCGCGCUUGCAUUCGAUACGGGCAGGCUCGAGUUCGGUAGGGGAGACUGGAAUUCCUGGUGUAGCGGUGAAAUGCGCAGAUAUCAGGAGGAACACCGGUGGCGAAGGCGGGUCUCUGGGCCGAUGACUGACGUGAGGAGCGAAAGCGUGGGGAGCGAACAG
This 252-nucleotide ribosomal RNA is filed under the name uncultured bacterium. Its description in RNAcentral is "partial 16S ribosomal RNA". It matches the Rfam family "Bacterial small subunit ribosomal RNA", at positions 524 to 775 of the family's 1533-position model. The record is from RNAcentral.